This 460-nucleotide ribosomal RNA is filed under the name uncultured bacterium. RNAcentral's name for it is "partial 16S ribosomal RNA". It matches the Rfam family "Bacterial small subunit ribosomal RNA", at positions 338 to 795 of the family's 1533-position model. The record is from RNAcentral.
CCUACGGGAUGCUGCAGUGAGGAAUAUUGGUCAAUGGACGAGAGUCUGAACCAGCCAAGUAGCGUGAAGGAUGAAUGCCCUCUGGGUUGUAAACUUCUUUUAUCUGGGAAUAAAACGUUCCACGUGUGGGAUUUUGUAUGUACCAUAUGAAUAAGGAUCGGCUAACUCCGUGCCAGCAGCCGCGUUAAUACGGAGGAUCCGAGCGUUAUCCGGAUUUAUUGGGUGUAACGGGAGCGUAGGUGGAUUGUUAAGUCAGUGGUGAAAGUUUGCGGCUCAACCGUAAAAGUGCAGUUGAAACUGGCAGUCUUGAGUACAGUAGAGGUGGGCGGAAUUCGUGGUGUAGCGGUGAAAUGCUUAGAUAUCACGAAGAACUCCGAUUGCGAAGGCAGUUCACUGGACUGCAACUGACACUGAGGCUCGAAAGUGUGGGUAUCAAACAGGAUUAGAUACCCCAGUAGUC